CCCAGCAGGUGGCCCUCCAGCCCCCUUGGCCACCUCGGGAGGCGGACACCCCGUUUGGUAGCCUUUAGGGUCCCGGUGGUGGUUACCAUGGUGAUGACAGGGCGCGGGAGGACAGCGUGCUGUACCUGCCAAGGGAGCUGAGGCAGAGAAAUUAAGUUGUGCAAGAUUACCCAGCCGUAAAAUUGCCUGAGUUUGGACUGAGUUGUCUUUAAAAUUCAAUCAAGGCAAGUCUUCAUGUGCCUGAGAGUUGGGCUGUACUUGAAAGUAGUGCUGUGUGAGAUUGGGUUCCAUCGAGAGCCUGCAGAAUUGGAGUGAAGACUGUUGGAAGAAAGGAAGAUGAGUGUGGGGCAGUCAGAGAGCAGUAAUGGCAGUGCUGACUGGAGGAGGUUACGUGAGAUGUUGUACCAUUGGGGUCAGGACUUCAAAGGAGAAGAGGACAUGGAAGGAGCAGGAAGAAGGACGCUUUUUGAUGACGUUUCAGAAUAA
Molecule: long non-coding RNA, 486 nt
Organism: Ochotona princeps (American pika)
Lineage: Eukaryota; Metazoa; Chordata; Mammalia; Lagomorpha; Ochotonidae
Exons: 3
Source: RefSeq, a predicted model, not a curated record